UACGUAGGGUGCAAGCGUUAUCCGGAUUCACUGGGUUUAAAGGGUGCGUAGGUGGGUUGAUAAGUCAGUGGUGAAAUCCCCGAGCUUAACUUGGGAACUGCCAUUGAUACUAUUGAUCUUGAAUACCGUGGAGGUCAGCGGAAUAUGUCAUGUAGCGGUGAAAUGCUUAGAUAUGACAUAGAACACCAAUUGCGAAGGCAGCUGGCUACGCGAAUAUUGACACUGAUGCACGAAAGCGUGGGGAUCAAACAGG
RNAcentral lists this ribosomal RNA (253 nucleotides) under uncultured bacterium. RNAcentral's name for it is "partial 16S ribosomal RNA". It matches the Rfam family "Bacterial small subunit ribosomal RNA", at positions 524 to 776 of the family's 1533-position model. The record is from RNAcentral.